Molecule: non-coding RNA, 2293 nt
Organism: Macaca mulatta (Rhesus monkey)
Lineage: Eukaryota; Metazoa; Chordata; Mammalia; Primates; Cercopithecidae
Source: RefSeq, a predicted model, not a curated record
AAUUGGUUGCCCUCCUGUCCGUCAGAGGUGCAGUCCCACAGGGGGCGUGCCGCCGUUUUCGCGUUUGCCUCGCUGGGUGACUCCGCUUGUUUGUCGGCUGCAUGAGUGCCUAGAGGUUUUCGGUGGAAGAUGCCGGACAGUAACUUCGCAGAGCGCAGCGAGGAACAGGUGUCUGGUGCUAAAGUCAUCGCCCAGGCCCUGAAAACGCAAGAUGUGGAGUACGUAUUUGGAAUCGUAGGCAUCCCAGUGACCGAAAUUGCCAUUGCUGCCCAGCAGCUAGGCAUCAAGUACAUCGGGAUGAGGAAUGAGCAAGCGGCUUGUUAUGCUGCCUCCGCGAUUGGAUAUCUGACAGGCAGGCCAGGAGUCUGCCUUGUUGUUUCUGGCCCAGGUCUCAUCCACGCCUUGGGUGGUAUGGCAAAUGCAAACGUGAACUGCUGGCCCUUGCUUGUGAUUGGUGGUUCCCCUGAAAGAAACCAAGAAACGAUGGGAGCUUUCCAGGAGUUUCCUCAGGUUGAAGCUUGUAGAUUAUAUACCAAGUUCUCUGCCCGUCCAAGCAGCAUAGAAGCUGUUCCUUUUGUUAUUGAAAAGGCAGUGAGAAGCAGUAUCUAUGGUCGUCCAGGUGCUUGCUAUGUUGACAUACCAGCAGAUUUUGUGAACCUUCAGGUGAAUGUGAGUUCUAUAAAGCACGUGGAGCGCUGCAUGUCACCUCCUAUUAGCAUGGCAGAAACCUCUGCUGUGUGCACGGCAGCUUCUGUUAUUAAGAAUGCCAAACAGCCCCUUCUUAUCAUCGGGAAAGGUGCUGCUUAUGCUCAUGCAGAAGAGAGUAUCCAGAAAUUGGUGGAGCAAUAUAAACUGCCAUUUUUGCCCACCCCUAUGGGGAAGGGUGUUGUCCCUGACAACCAUCCAUACUGUGUAGGUGCAGCCAGAUCCAGGGCUUUGCAAUUUGCUGAUGUAAUUGUGUUAUUUGGUGCCAGACUAAAUUGGAUUUUACAUUUUGGACUGCCUCCAAGAUACCAGCCAGAUGUGAAGUUUAUCCAGGUUGAUAUCUGUGCAGAAGAAUUGGGUAAUAAUGUGAAGCCGGCUGUUACUUUACUAGGAGACAUAAAUGCUGUCACUAAGCAGCUUUUAGAGGAAUUUGAUAAAACACCAUGGCAGUAUCCUCCAGAGAGCAAGUGGUGGAAAACUCUGAGAGAAAAAAUGAAGAGCAAUGAAGCUGCAUCCAAGGAACUAGCUUCCAGAGAAUCUCUGCCUAUGAAUUAUUACACAGUAUUCUACCAUGUUCAAGAGCAACUACCUAGAGACUGCUUUGUGGUAAGCGAAGGAGCAAAUACUAUGGACAUUGGACGGACUGUGCUUCAGAACUACCUUCCUCGCCACAGGCUUGAUGCUGGUACUUUCGGAACAAUGGGAGUUGGUUUAGGAUUUGCUAUUGCAGCUGCCAUGGUGGCUAAAGAUAGAAGCCCUGGGCAACGGGUCAUCUGUGUGGAAGGAGACAGUGCAUUUGGGUUUUCUGGCAUGGAGGUGGAAACCAUCUGCAGGUACAACUUGCCAAUCAUACUCUUGGUAGUGAAUAACAAUGGAAUUUACCAAGGUUUUGAUACCGAUACUUGGAAAGAAAUGUUAAAAUUCCAAGAUGCUGCUUCAGUGGUCCCUCCAAUGUGUUUGCUGCCAAAUUCACAUUAUGAGCAAGUCAUGACUGCAUUUGGAGGAAAAGGGUAUUUUGUAAAAACACCAGAAGAACUCCAAAAGUCCCUGAGGCAGAGCCUAGCAGACACAGCUAAACCCUCUCUUAUCAACAUCAUGAUUGAGCCACAAGCCACACGGAAGACCCAGGGAAGGCUUCUCAGGGGAGAUGAUUCUUAAACGGAAAUCAGAAGGAUAAGCAGAGACUAACUCGGCAAAGGGGAGAUGGAAGAGAUGUGCAAAAGGCUCUGUAGCAAGAGGAAAGAGAAAGCAUGGCAAGUCUGAGGAAGAGGGAGAUGCAACUCUAAUACGAGGAUUUGUGCAGGAUUUUCAUUGGCUGACCCGCUCUAAUAUGUAAAUAAAGAUGCCAGUUGGUGGUCUUGAGUUUUCUCUUUCUUGCAAGAUGAAAUUUUAUUUUCCACAGCAAAAUUACUCUACUGUUAAAAUUGUGCAAAAUAAAAUAAACAUUUUAAAAUGACAUUUUACAGUAAAGGAAUUGAUUAAAAACAGAAAAAGUUAGAAAAAGUAACAGAAAAAGUUAUUCUGCCACAAAACUACUUACAGAUGAAUGGAGAGCUUUUAUUAAAUAAUAGCGUUGUAACUGCCUAAA